CGCAGUUUUGAUGAUGUUACUUCUUUUAUCUUAAGAAGACAUCAGAUAAAUCUGUGCU
This is a non-coding RNA of Poecilia formosa (Amazon molly), 58 nucleotides long. Lineage: Eukaryota; Metazoa; Chordata; Actinopteri; Cyprinodontiformes; Poeciliidae. The record is from Rfam.